RNAcentral lists this ribosomal RNA (460 nucleotides) under uncultured bacterium. Its description in RNAcentral is "partial 16S ribosomal RNA". It matches the Rfam family "Bacterial small subunit ribosomal RNA", at positions 338 to 795 of the family's 1533-position model. The record is from RNAcentral.
CCUACGGGUGACAGCAGUGAGGAAUAUUGGUCAAUGGGCGUAAGCCUGAACCAGCCAAGUCGCGUGAGGGAUGAAGGUUCUAUGGAUCGUAAACCUCUUUUAUAAGGGAAUAAAGCGCGGGACGUGUCCCUUUUUGUAUGUACCUUAUGAAUAAGGAUCGGCUAACUCCGUGCCAGCAGCCGCGGUAAUACGGAGGAUCCGAGCGUUAUCCGGAUUUAUUGGGUUUAAAGGGUGCGUAGGCGGCCUUUUAAGUCAGCGGUGAAAGUCUGCGGCUCAACCAUAGAAUUGCAGUUGAAACUGGGAGUCUUGAGUAUGUUUGAGGCAGGCGGAAUGCGUGGUGUAGCGGUGAAAUGCUUAGAUAUCACGCAGAACCCCGAUUGCGAAGGCAGCCUGCCAAGCUAUGACUGACGCUGAUGCACGAAAGCGUGGGGAUCAAACAGGAUUAGAUACCCGAGUAGUC